This is a long non-coding RNA of Carassius carassius (crucian carp), 676 nucleotides long. RefSeq lists it as uncharacterized. NCBI's taxonomy places the organism in Eukaryota, Metazoa, Chordata, Actinopteri, Cypriniformes, Cyprinidae. The record is from RefSeq and is a predicted model, not a curated record. The transcript has 2 exons.
AUUAAAACAAAAGUCGAAUGCUUCUUCAUAUUACAAUAUUUGAGAUAAUGAUGUAGAAAUGUCUUCAUUGUCUCUUACCCAUCCUCCCAUUCUGAGAAUCCAUUCCAACAGAUUCCUCCUGAAGUAAUCCAGACUUAAGAUCAAAAUAUCUGAAACAAUUGUGGGUAAGUGUGCAAGGACCAUCUAUUGAGAGGAAAAAGAGAUAUAUAAAGAGAUAUAAACAUGAAGAUGCAUGCCUACAAACAACAGGUAUAUUAACAGAAAUGUUAACAAGACAACAGAAAUAUCUAGGAUUUAAAUAAUCCAAUACCUUUCCAGACAGUUUUCCAACUGAAUAGAACAGCACUAUAAUUCUCCCCCAGUUGAUCUGGCCAUCUGUGAAAACCUUCUCCACAAGUUCCCAGAAACUUCUUUUAUCAGCCACUUUUACUAAGCCAUCAAUCAUGCUGUGAGGUCAGAAGAACAAAAAAGUGAAGCCUGGUGUUUUAAAACCAGUACAGACUAAAGAGAGACAAAGAUUCAGAGCUCAGACUGACUCAUUGAAUGAUUUAUCCUGAUCGAGCCUAUCACCAAUCAUUUUGAUGGUCUCCGCCAACUGUUCAACAAGCUUCUGGUCCUGGCAGUUGCUUAUUGGUCUAGCUUCAGGAAGGGCUGGCGGGGCUGCAUGCAUUUCGGC